Molecule: ribosomal RNA, 505 nt
Filed under: uncultured bacterium
Lineage: Bacteria
Description: partial 16S ribosomal RNA
Rfam family: Bacterial small subunit ribosomal RNA
Source: RNAcentral
GACGAACGCUGGCGGCGUGCCUAAUACAUGCAAGUAGAACGCACAGUUUAUACCGUAGCUUGCUCCACCAUAGACUGUGAGUUGCGAACGGGUGAGUAACGCGUAGGUAACCUGCCUGGUAGCGGGGGAUAACUAUUGGAAACGAUAGCUAAUACCGCAUAAUAUUGAUUAUUGCAUGAUAAUUGAUUGAAAGAUGCUAUUGCAUCACUACCAGAUGGACCUGCGUUGUAUUAGCUAGUAGGUGAGGUAACGGCUCACCUAGGCGACGAUACAUAGCCGACCUGAGAGGGUGAUCGGCCACACUGGGACGGGGACACGGCCCAGACUCCUACGGGAGGCAGCAGUAGGGAAUCUUCGGCAAUGGACGAAAGUCUGACCGAGCAACGCCGCGUCAGUGAAGAAGGUUUUCGGAUCGUAAAGCUCUGUUGGAAGAGAAGAACGGGUGUGAGAGUGGAAAGUUCACACUGUGACGGUAUCUUACCAGUAAGGGACGGCUAACUACGUG